Molecule: ribosomal RNA, 539 nt
Filed under: Ballistosporomyces sasicola
Lineage: Eukaryota; Fungi; Basidiomycota; Agaricostilbomycetes; Agaricostilbales; Chionosphaeraceae
Description: LSU rRNA
Rfam family: Eukaryotic large subunit ribosomal RNA
Source: RNAcentral
CGAGUGAAGUGGGAAAAGCUCAACUUUGUAAUCUGGCUCUUUCAGAGUCCGAGUUGUAGUCUCGAGAAGCAACAUCCGCAUCGGACCUUGGAUAUAUCUGUUGGAAAACAGUGUCAUAGAGGGUGACAAUCCCGUUUGUGCCAAGGACGACCGCGUGCAUUGUGGUGUGCUUUCCAAGAGUCGAGUUGUUUGGGAAUGCAGCUCAAAUUGGGUGGUAAAUUCCAUCUAAAGCUAAAUAUUGGCGAGAGACCGAUAGCGAACAAGUACCGUGAGGGAAAGAUGAAAAGCACUUUGGAAAGAGAAUGAAACAGUAUGUGAAAUUGCUGGAAGGGAAACGAUUGAAGUUAGACUUGCGUGGGCCGCAUUCAGCCUUUUUGGUGUACUUGCGGCUCGUUGCAGGCCAGCAUCGGUUUGCUUCGUGGAAUAAGGGUGCGCGGGAUGUAGCUUCUUUUGAAGUGUUAUAAACGCGCACUGGAUGCCAAGUCGCAGACCGAGGAACGCAGCGCGUUUGUAGUGCCUUUAGGUACAGAGCGCUUAGG